Molecule: ribosomal RNA, 874 nt
Filed under: uncultured euryarchaeote
Lineage: Archaea; Methanobacteriati; Methanobacteriota
Description: bacterial SSU rRNA
Rfam family: Archaeal small subunit ribosomal RNA
Source: RNAcentral
CGGUUGAUCCUGCCGGAGGCCACUGCUAUCGGGCUCCGACUAAGCCAUGCGAGUCUAGGGGCUCCUUCGGGAGCACCGGCGGACGGCUCAGUAACACGUGGACAACCUACCCUCGGGUGGGGGAUAACCUCGGGAAACUGAGGCUAAUACCCCAUAGGCCUCGGAUACUGGAAGGUUCCGAGGCUGAAAGCUCCGGCGCCCGAGGAUGGGUCUGCGGCCUAUCAGGUAGUUGGUGGUGUAAAGGACCACCAAGCCUACGACGGGUACGGGCCCUGAGAGGGGGAGCCCGGAGAUGGACUCUGAGACAUGAGUCCAGGCCCUACGGGGCGCAGCAGGCGCGAAACCUUCGCAAUGCGCGAAAGCGCGACGAGGGGAGCCCGAGUGCCCUUCCUUCGGGGAGGGCUUUUCCCGAGCCUAAAAAGCUCGGGGAAUAAGGGCUGGGCAAGACGGGUGCCAGCCGCCGCGGUAAUACCCGCAGCUCAAGUGGUGGCCACUAUUAUUGAGCCUAAAGCGUCCGUAGCCGGACCCGUAAAUCCCUGGGUAAAUCCCGGCGCUCAACGUCGGGAAUUCCGGGGAGACUGCGGGUCUUGGGACCGGGAGAGGCCGGAGGUACUCCCGGGGUAGCGGUGAAAUGCUGUAAUCCUGGGGGGGCCACCUGUGGCGAAAGCGUCCGGCUUGAACGGCUCCGACGGUGAGGGACGAAGGCCAGGGGAGCAAACCGGAUUAGAUACCCGGGUAGUCCUGGCUGUAAACGCUGCCCGCUUGGUGUUGCCGGUCUCUCGGGGGCCGGCAGUGCCGGAGCGAAGGUGUUAAGCGGGCCGCUUGGGAAGUACGGCCGCAAGGCUGAAACUUAAAGGAAUUGGCGGGGGAGCAC